RNAcentral lists this ribosomal RNA (1343 nucleotides) under uncultured bacterium. RNAcentral's name for it is "16S ribosomal RNA". It matches the Rfam family "Bacterial small subunit ribosomal RNA", at positions 28 to 1378 of the family's 1533-position model. The record is from RNAcentral.
GACGAACGCUUGCGGCGUGCUUAACACAUGCAAGUCGAACGGAAAGGCCCUGCUUUUGUGGGGUGCUCGAGUGGCGAACGGGUGAGUAACACGUGAGUAACCUGCCCUUGACUUUGGGAUAACUUCAGGAAACUGGGGCUAAUACCGGAUAGGAGCUCCUGCUGCAUGGUGGGGGUUGGAAAGUUUCGGCGGUUGGGGAUGGACUCGCGGCUUAUCAGCUUGUUGGUGGGGUAGUGGCUUACCAAGGCUUUGACGGGUAGCCGGCCUGAGAGGGUGACCGGCCACAUUGGGACUGAGAUACGGCCCAGACUCCUACGGGAGGCAACAGUGGGGAAUAUUGCACAAUGGGCGGAAGCCUGAUGCAGCAACGCCGCGUGCGGGAUGACGGCCUUCGGGUUGUAAACCGCUUUCGCCUGUGACGAAGCGUGAGUGACGGUAAUGGGUAAAGAAGCACCGGCUAACUACGUGCCAGCAGCCGCGGUGAUACGUAGGGUGCGAGCGUUGUCCGGAUUUAUUGGGCGUAAAGGGCUCGUAGGUGGUUGAUCGCGUCGGAAGUGUAAUCUUGGGGCUUAACCCUGAGCGUGCUUUCGAUACGGGUUGACUUGAGGAAGGUAGGGGAGAAUGGAAUUCCUGGUGGAGCGGUGGAAUGCGCAGAUAUCAGGAGGAACACCAGUGGCGAAGGCGGUUCUCUGGGCCUUUCCUGACGCUGAGGAGCGAAAGCGUGGGGAGCGAACAGGCUUAGAUACCCUGGUAGUCCACGCUGUAAACGGUGGGUACUAGGUGUGGGGUCCAUUCCACGGGUUCCGUGCCGUAGCUAACGCUUUAAGUACCCCGCCUGGGGAGUACGGCCGCAAGGCUAAAACUCAAAGGAAUUGACGGGGCCCCGCACAAGCGGCGGAGCAUGCGGAUUAAUUCGAUGCAACGCGUAGAACCUUACCUGGGUUUGACAUGGAUCGGGAGUGCUCAGAGAUGGGUGUGCCUCUUUUGGGGUCGGUUCACAGGUGGUGCAUGGCUGUCGUCAGCUCGUGUCGUGAGAUGUUGGGUUAAGUCCCGCAACGAGCGCAACCCUUGUUCACUGUUGCCAGCACGUUAUGGUGGGGACUCAGUGGAGACCGCCGGGGUCAACUCGGAGGAAGGUGGGGAUGACGUCAAGUCAUCAUGCCCCUUAUGUCCAGGGCUUCACGCAUGCUACAAUGGCUGGUACAGAGAGUGGCGAGCCUGUGAGGGUGAGCGAAUCUCGGAAAGCCGGUCUCAGUUCGGAUUGGGGUCUGCAACUCGACCUCAUGAAGUCGGAGUCGCUAGUAAUCGCAGAUCAGCAACGCUGCGGUGAAUACGUUCCCGGG